AAUUGGCAAGGAUGGAAGGAAUCAGACAGAACUUAAGGGCAAACUCUCAGAAUUCGUUGAAUUUCAUGUGACUGUGAAAGAAUUUGCCUUCAAGUAUGCGGAUGCUUAUGAGUUCAUUUUCUUGAUCUACUUUUUGUGGAGUAGUGUAACAAUUUGCAGCACUCUUUUAAUAGCUCAAUUUGAAUUGUCUCAAGACAAUACCAAUUUCUUCAUUCUAAUGACUCAAAUUGAUGUCAUGUUCUGGUCAUUUUUCACCAUAUUUUUAUUCUGCAUUU
Molecule: long non-coding RNA, 275 nt
Organism: Contarinia nasturtii (swede midge)
Lineage: Eukaryota; Metazoa; Arthropoda; Insecta; Diptera; Cecidomyiidae
Exons: 3
Source: RefSeq, a predicted model, not a curated record